GCUUCAUGAUUUGGGCAUUACAUUAACUUAUCAUUGAAACUUUGCCAAACUUCAUACAAUGGUUCACCAUUAAGUAGGCAAAAGUUGGUGAUUUUGUUCCUUACU
Small nucleolar RNA from Capsicum annuum, 105 nucleotides. The record is from RefSeq and is a predicted model, not a curated record. NCBI's taxonomy places the organism in Eukaryota, Viridiplantae, Streptophyta, Magnoliopsida, Solanales, Solanaceae.